Molecule: transfer RNA, 68 nt
Filed under: Salmo salar (Atlantic salmon)
Lineage: Eukaryota; Metazoa; Chordata; Actinopteri; Salmoniformes; Salmonidae
Rfam family: tRNA
About the family: Transfer RNA (tRNA) molecules are approximately 80 nucleotides in length.
Source: Rfam by way of RNAcentral
GACCCUGUGGCUCAGUUGGUAGAGCAUUGCAAUUUCAAGAGCUGUGGGUUCAAUUCCCCCUGGGGCCA